RNAcentral lists this small RNA (194 nucleotides) under Pseudarthrobacter phenanthrenivorans. Its description in RNAcentral is "c-di-AMP sequence". It matches the Rfam family "c-di-AMP riboswitch aptamer (ydaO/yuaA leader)". From Rfam's summary of the family: This family represents a conserved RNA structure found upstream of the ydaO and yuaA genes in Bacillus subtilis and related genes in other bacteria. The ydaO/yuaA element is thought to act as a genetic "off" switch for the ydaO and yuaA genes in its native state. It is believed that the element may be triggered during osmotic shock leading to activation of ydaO, a predicted amino acid transporter gene, and members of the yuaA-yubG operon which code for KtrA and KtrB K+ transporters. The record is from RNAcentral. Lineage: Bacteria; Bacillati; Actinomycetota; Actinomycetes; Micrococcales; Micrococcaceae.
UGAGCAGACUUGCCUAACUCUGCCGCUGCCUCAGGAUCCGUUCGCAAAAUCGUCCGGCAGAGACGGGGAACCCAACAGCGGCCUGCUCGCAGGCCUUGGGGUGAAGCCGUGCCUGAUGCAUCCGUGCAUCAACGCGGCCGGGUGCCUCCCAUCCGAAUCCGACAGCUAACCUCGCAGGCAGUGGGAGAGGCCCU